This 273-nucleotide ribosomal RNA is filed under the name uncultured bacterium. RNAcentral describes it as "partial 16S ribosomal RNA". It matches the Rfam family "Bacterial small subunit ribosomal RNA", at positions 524 to 796 of the family's 1533-position model. The record is from RNAcentral.
UACGUAGGGUGCAAGCGUUAAUCGGAAUUACUGGGCGUAAAGCGUGCGCAGGCGGUUAUGUAAGACAGAUGUGAAAUCCCCGGGCUCAACCUGGGAACUGCAUUUGUGACUGCAUAGCUAGAGUACGGUAGAGGGGGAUGGAAUUCCGCGUGUAGCAGUGAAAUGCGUAGAUAUGCGGAGGAACACCGAUGGCGAAGGCAAUCCCCUGGACCUGUACUGACGCUCAUGCACGAAAGCGUGGGGAGCAAACAGGAUUAGAUACCCGGGUAGUCC